This 644-nucleotide ribosomal RNA is filed under the name beta proteobacterium KITTS8. RNAcentral's name for it is "bacterial SSU rRNA". It matches the Rfam family "Bacterial small subunit ribosomal RNA", at positions 22 to 662 of the family's 1533-position model. Lineage: Bacteria; Pseudomonadati; Pseudomonadota; Betaproteobacteria. The record is from RNAcentral.
GCUCAGAUUGAACGCUGGCGGCAUGCCUUACACAUGCAAGUCGAACGGCAGCGCGGGGCAACCUGGCGGCGAGUGGCGAACGGGUGAGUAAUAUAUCGGAACGUACCCUGGAGUGGGGGAUAACGUAGCGAAAGUUACGCUAAUACCGCAUACGAUCUAAGGAUGAAAGUGGGGGAUUCGCAAGAACCUCAUGCUCCUGGAGCGGCCGAUAUCUGAUUAGCUAGUUGGUAGGGUAAAAGCCUACCAAGGCAUCGAUCAGUAGCUGGUCUGAGAGGACGACCAGCCACACUGGAACUGAGACACGGUCCAGACUCCUACGGGAGGCAGCAGUGGGGAAUUUUGGACAAUGGGCGCAAGCCUGAUCCAGCAAUGCCGCGUGAGUGAAGAAGGCCUUCGGGUUGUAAAGCUCUUUUGUCAGGGAAGAAACGGCCUGUUCUAAUACAGUGGGCUAAUGACGGUACCUGAAGAAUAAGCACCGGCUAACUACGUGCCAGCACCGCGGUAAUACGUAGGGUGCAAGCGUUAAUCGGAAUUACUGGGCGUAAAGCGUGCGCAGGCGGUUUUGUAAGUUUGUCGUGAAAUCCCCGGGCUCAACCUGGGAAUGGCGAUGAAAACUGCAAGGCUAGAGUUUGGCAGAGGGGGGU